This 491-nucleotide ribosomal RNA is filed under the name uncultured bacterium. Its description in RNAcentral is "partial 16S ribosomal RNA". It matches the Rfam family "Bacterial small subunit ribosomal RNA", at positions 29 to 506 of the family's 1533-position model. The record is from RNAcentral.
AGUGAACGCUGGCGGUAGGCCUAACACAUGCAAGUCGAACGGCAGCACAGUAAGAGCUUGCUCUUACGGGUGGCGAGUGGCGGACGGGUGAGGAAUACAUCGGAAUCUACUUUUUCGUGGGGGAUAACGUAGGGAAACUUACGCUAAUACCGCAUACGACCUACGGGUGAAAGCAGGGGAUCUUCGGACCUUGCGCGAUUGAAUGAGCCGAUGUCGGAUUAGCUAGUUGGCGGGGUAAAGGCCCACCAAGGCGACGAUCCGUAGCUGGUCUGAGAGGAUGAUCAGCCACACUGGACCUGAGACACGGUCCAGCCUCCUACGGGAGGCAGCAGUGGGGAAUAUUGGACAAUGGGCGCAAGCCUGAUCCAGCCAUACCGCGUGGGUGAAGAAGGCCUUCGGGUUGUAAAGCCCUUUUGUUGGGAAAGAAAAGCAGCAGGUUAAUACCCCGCUGUUCUGACGGGACCCAAAGAAUAAGCACCGGCUAACUUCGU